AGUGAACGCUGGCGGUAUGCCUAACACAUGCAAGUCGAACGGUAGCCGAGUAAGCGCUUGCUUUUCGGGGUGGCGAGUGGUGUACCGGUGCGGAAUCCAUCGGGAUUUAUUUUUUCUUGGGGGAUCAGGUAGGGACGCUUACGAUCUUAGGGUAUACGAGGUGCGGGUGAAGGCCGGGGAUCUUUGGACCUUGCGCGAUUGGAUGAGGCCAUUUCGGAUUUGCUCGUUGGCGGGGUAAAGGCCCACCAAGGUGACGAUCCGUAGCUGGUCUGCGAGGAUGAUCAGCCACACUGGAACUGAGACACGGUCCAGACUCCGACGGGAGGCAGCAGUGGGGAAUAUUGGACAAUGGGCGCAAGCCUGAUCCAGCCAUACCGCGUGGGGGAAGAAGGCCUUCGGGUUGUAAAGCCCUUUUGUUGGGAAAGAAAAGCAGCAGGUUAAUACCCCGCUGUUCUGACGGUACCCAAAGAAUAAGCACCGGCUAACUUCGUG
Molecule: ribosomal RNA, 492 nt
Filed under: uncultured bacterium
Lineage: Bacteria
Description: partial 16S ribosomal RNA
Rfam family: Bacterial small subunit ribosomal RNA
Source: RNAcentral